UACGUAGGGUGCGAGCGUUAAUCGGAAUUACUGGGCGUAAAGCGUGCGCAGGCGGUUUUGUAAGCCAGAUGUGAAAUCCCCGGGCCCAACCUGGGAACUGCAUUUGUGACUGCAUCGCUGGAGUGCGGCAGAGGGGGAUGGAAUUCCGCGUGUAGCAGUGAAAUGCGUAGAUAUGCGGAGGAACACCGAUGGCGAAGGCAAUCCCCUGGGCCUGCACUGACGCUCAUGCACGAAAGCGUGGGGAGCAAACAGG
RNAcentral lists this ribosomal RNA (253 nucleotides) under uncultured bacterium. RNAcentral's name for it is "partial 16S ribosomal RNA". It matches the Rfam family "Bacterial small subunit ribosomal RNA", at positions 524 to 776 of the family's 1533-position model. The record is from RNAcentral.